Molecule: ribosomal RNA, 507 nt
Filed under: uncultured Actinomycetes bacterium
Lineage: Bacteria; Bacillati; Actinomycetota; Actinomycetes
Description: bacterial SSU rRNA
Rfam family: Bacterial small subunit ribosomal RNA
Source: RNAcentral
CGAAAGCCUGAUGCAGCAACGCCGCGUGCGGGAUGAAGGCCUUAGGGUUGUAAACCGCUUUCAGCAGGGAAGAAACUGACGGUACCUGCAGAAGAAGGUGCGGCCAACUACGUGCCAGCAGCCGCGGUGACACGUAGGCACCAAGCGUUGUCCGGAUUUAUUGGGCGUAAAGAGCUCGUAGGCGGUUCGGUAAGUCGGGGUGUGAAAACUCUGGGCUCAACCCAGAGAGGCCACCCGAUACUGCUGUGACUCGAGUGCGGUAGGGGAGCGGGGAAUUCCUGGUGUAGCGGUGAAAUGCGCAGAUAUCAGGAGGAACACCAGUGGCGAAGGCGCCGCUCUGGGCCGUAACUGACGCUGAGGAGCGAAAGCGUGGGUAGCAAACAGGAUUAGAUACCCUGGUAGUCCACGCCGUAAACGUUGGGCACUAGGUGUGGGUCUCAACCAACGAGAUCCGCGCCGUCGCUAACGCAUUAAGUGCCCCGCCUGGGGAGUACGGCCGCAAGGCUA